This 465-nucleotide ribosomal RNA is filed under the name uncultured bacterium. Its description in RNAcentral is "partial 16S ribosomal RNA". It matches the Rfam family "Bacterial small subunit ribosomal RNA", at positions 28 to 507 of the family's 1533-position model. The record is from RNAcentral.
GAUGAACGCUGGCGGCGUGCUUAACACAUGCAAGUCGAACGGAAAGGCUCCUGCUUGCGGGGGUACUCGAGUGGCGAACGGGUGAGUAACACGUGGGUGAUCUGCCCUGCACUUCGGGAUAAGCCUUGGAAACUGGGGCUAAUACCGGAUAGGACGAUGGUUUGGAUGCCAUUGUGGACAGUUUUUCGGUGUGGGAUGAGCUCGCGGCCUAUCAGCUUGUUGGUGGGGUAAUGGCCUACCAAGGCGUCGACGGGUAGCCGGCCUGGGAGGGUGGACGGCCACAUUGGGACUGAGAUACGGCCCAGACUCCUACGGGAGGCAGCAGUGGGGAAUAUUGCACAAUGGGCGCAAGCCUGAUGCAGCGACGCCGCGUGGGGGAUGACGGCCUUCGGGUUGUAAACUCCUUUCGCUAGGGACGAAGCGCAAGUGACGGUACCUGGAGAAGAAGCACCGGCUAACUACGUG